GCAGGCAAGCAGCUCGAGGGCAGGUGGGCAUGAUGUCUGGCUACCACUCGCACUGGACGCCACACACACAGCCAGGGUGGCAGAAGGCCCCACCUGCCAUGUGCCAGUGGGACACCACCCUCAUGGUCUGCGUUUCCAGGUUUCCAACUAAGGACUGAGCACACUCUCAACAUGGACCUCCUAACUGCUCUCGAGGAUGGACAGCUGGCCUCAAGGGAACACUGCAAAGUGGCUCUAGGAAGAAGCCACUGUCCCUCCAGACCAUAAAAAUGGCUACCAAGGGCAGAGCCAGCAGCUUUCGCUGUAAAGUUUCUCAAGAAAAUCACAGAUAUUCCCCUCUGUGAUGUUCAGCUCAGCCUGGAAAGGAGAGGUAGAAACUGAGAGUUGAAGAGGCUGAAUAAUUUCUCAAGCACACUCCCAACUCGACCACCCACAAGCAAAAAGGCAGAGCUGGGAUUCAAACACAGGUAUGACUGUGUGUGGACAUCUCCCCUGUGCUAUGCUCCCUGAAGGAAAAUUCUAAGUGGUGUUGUUUCUGGGAGAAAUCUACCUGUGUGGUCUUUAAACCUACUCUGACAGGAGCAAGGGCCACCACUCUGUAUCUAAGACCACUGGGAACAGUCUUCAGGCAACAAGGUGACCAGGGCAGCUGCAGAGGGUAUCUAUGCCCCUGCCCCCUAGCGCAAAAGUCUGUUUCUCUUUCCAAAUGGCCCGCUGGGAGCAACUAUUUAGGGAGACCAUACCUCCUCCCACACUCAGUUCCCAGGCCUGAGCCACAGAGUCCUGCCACAGGAGGGAGGACCUGCCUGUCCUGCUCCCUCCCCACUCCAGGUUCCUGGAGGCCUCUGUGAUGAUUCCCCAGGAAGGACUACAGGAUCUGGCAGGCAGCAGGUGGCGGUGGGAGGAGGAGAGUCCUGGGAGCACAGCACUCCUAACCCCCUCUGCCUCUCACAGAACAAAGAGGGAGUCAUGCCAUGUCCCCUGCUCCCACAAAUGCCCCACCCAGAGGGGCUAAUGCCUAGGAUUGAGGGUCUUGUGUGCUGAGGAAGUCCUGUCCCCCAAUCCCCUACAAAAGCCAGAACCAGCUACUAAGGGGUUAGACACAGACAGAACUGUCUAUAUUAACAUUUCCUCCUAAAAAACAACAGGAAUCCUGGGGAAAGACCACUGGCCUGGGACUCCAUGAGCCCUGGCUUCUAUCUCUGGCUUUAUCAGGUGACCAUAGGCAAGUCACCUAGCCUCCAUGGUCUAGGCUCUCCUGCCUGUUGGGUGGGAAUCAUUACAUAUCACAAUCAUUACAGCUGACCUUCAGGGAGGCUGUACUCUGGGUCAGGAAUUGUGUUGGGUGCAUUAUCAUAUUUAUUCUCACAGCACCCUUUGCAGUAGCUACUAUUUUCAUACCCAUUCUCAGAUGAGGAAACUGUGGAACAGGCUGGUUAGGGGACAUGCCCAAAGUGACAAACUUAGCAAAGGUGGACCUGGCACUCAGUACCACAUCUGUUUUUCCAUGCUCUUAACCACUGUAACAUACAGAGCCCUUUUACAGAGAUCAAGGACAGAGGUAAAAGUGUUUUGAAAGCAAAAAAAAAAAAGUGGGGAGGAUGCAUAAAAUAAACAUAAAUCACCCCCUGCCCCGCCCAGACAUAAUUCAGGGAAGAGUCCUAACCCCCAAGAACCUUCUGUGGAACUUAUUCGCAACAUCAGAGACCUCCAACAUAGAAAUGACCCUCAAUAAGUCAUUCCUCUUUCCCUUCAGGCAGGAAUAAUAUAACUAACUGAAUUAUACAGGUGAGACCACGAAGGUCAAGCAAGGGUGACCAGCUUAGGCCCCUGGCUGGCAGGAAUGACAAAGGAAUGCAUAAAGAACUUCAAAGUUCAACUCCUCGAACUUCAAACUUCAAAUCCCCAACUCCUCCUGCCUAUGCUGGACGAUUAGGGCAGUAACAGGAGUCAACUUGUGCUGUGCUGUCACCUUGCCUGGAUCCGCAUCAGCCCUGCAGCUCCCACUUUGGAGGAGACUUGCCCAGGGACCUACAGCUCUGAAGCUUCUCUGACAGCCUCUGCAGCUCUUGGAACUUAUCUGGGCUGCUGCUGUGCAGACCAUGGAUGCAUAGCUGAGUUCCUGCCCCUGAUUUCCUAGAGUCUCAGAAAGACAGGGAAGUGACUUACCCAAAGUCCCCUUUCACCCUAUAAACAGUUCAGCCCAGGGAGUGAGGCUGACACGCAAAUGCAGCUAUGUAUAGACUCAGAGUCAUCCAAGGUCAGGGCUGGGUGGAGCCUUGGUCACAUGCAGGCCAACCUGUGUCUGGAGAUAAUGCAAGCCAGUGCAGGGGUUAGCGUGUACAUGGACUCUGGAGUCUGGCAGAUCUAAGCCCCACCCACCAACCUGUGACCUUGGAGAAUUAUUUGAAAAGACAUUAUUUGAAAAGCAGAUGUAAAAUGGAAAUAAAAGUUCCUAUUUAAAACA
This 2467-nucleotide long non-coding RNA is filed under the name Homo sapiens (human). RNAcentral's name for it is "HSALNT0329552". Lineage: Eukaryota; Metazoa; Chordata; Mammalia; Primates; Hominidae. The record is from RNAcentral.